CAGUCGCCGCGGUAAUACGUAGGGUGCGAGCGUUAAUCGGAAUUACUGGGCGUAAAGCGUGCGCAGGCGGUUGUGUAAGACAGGUGUGAAAUCCCCGGGCUUAACCUGGGAACUGCGCUUGUGACUGCACAGCUAGAGUAUGGCAGAGGGGGGUGGAAUUCCACGUGUAGCAGUGAAAUGCGUAGAGAUGUGGAGGAACACCGAUGGCGAAGGCAGCCCCCUGGGCCAAUACUGACGCUCAUGCACGAAAGCGUGGGGAGCAAACAGGAUUAGAGACCCGGGUAGUCCCUGUCUCUUAUAC
Molecule: ribosomal RNA, 301 nt
Filed under: uncultured bacterium
Lineage: Bacteria
Description: partial 16S ribosomal RNA
Rfam family: Bacterial small subunit ribosomal RNA
Source: RNAcentral